RNAcentral lists this ribosomal RNA (253 nucleotides) under uncultured bacterium. Its description in RNAcentral is "partial 16S ribosomal RNA". It matches the Rfam family "Bacterial small subunit ribosomal RNA", at positions 524 to 776 of the family's 1533-position model. The record is from RNAcentral.
UACAGAGGUCUCAAGCGUUGUUCGGAUUCAUUGGGCGUAAAGGGUGCGUAGGCGGCGCGGUAAGUCGGGUGUGAAAUCUCGGAGCUUAACUCCGAAACUGCAUUCGAUACUGCCGUACUUGAGGACUGGAGAGGAGACUGGAAUUUACGGUGUAGCGGUGAAAUGCGUAGAUAUCGGGAAGAACACCUAUGGCGAAGGCAGCUCUCUGGGACGGUACUGACGCUGAGACGCGAAAGCGUGGGGAGCGAACAGG